Canis lupus familiaris (dog) is the source of this 1400-nucleotide long non-coding RNA. RefSeq lists it as uncharacterized. Lineage: Eukaryota; Metazoa; Chordata; Mammalia; Carnivora; Canidae. The transcript has 4 exons. The record is from RefSeq and is a predicted model, not a curated record.
AAGAUUUUAGCUCUAAAAUACAUUAAGAUGUUGAGAAAUACAGGCUUUUUAUUGGGGCGGGGGUGUUAGGGAGCUAAUAGCUUGGAUUCUGAUUCUGUGGAUUGUUGGGAGAGUACAGGAAGGAGCCUUCCUAGAAAAGCAUCAUCUCUCACCAGACAAGAAAGUAUUCUGGGAUCCAUCCUGGGAGGAGGACAAGCCACACAUCCCGGGGUGGCUAGCAGCUCUGUCCUGCACUGGCUGGCUGUUUGGUGGAUGCUCCAGUGGCCCAAAGGGAAGAAGUGCAGUACAUCUCUACAUCUGGCUCCUGUUUUGUGCUCUCUGUGACUGGGAAGUUGAACCAAAGUGAAAAUGUUGUCAUUUCAGCAAUCAAGUUCUGUACUAGAGAGUAUGUAUCAUUCAAUUGACUCUGUUCCAUUCCACUGACCCUCAGAAGACUCUACCCUGUGUCUCUACCCAGAUUUUAAGUUAUUUCAAGCCAGGAACUCAUUCUCAUGCCCCAUGAAAUCCCUUUGUCACCACUAGCCACACCUACAGCUCUGUGCCCACUGAAGAAAGAAGAUGGCAGGGGACGUGGAGCCCUGAGUGGGCUGAGAUGGAAGGAGAGAGCUACUGCGGGGAGCGUCAUUGUUUAUCAAGCCUGAGUCCAUGUGGUGCUGGGACACAGGGGCCCCAAAGGUCCACUUUUCACAACUGAAGGCCAUGAUAUGAUGUUAACCACCACUACUUGCAAAAUGUUAAUGGUUUUAUACAUUUUUUUCAAAAUAUAUCUAAUAAUUAUUUGAUUUCUUAGUACCAGGGAAUAACGAGAAUGGAUCAUGUCAGAAGACUCACCAGGAAUUAUCUGGGUCAGUAAAUGACUCUUUCACUGUAGGAGGCAGUCCAGAGAUCUAUUGAUCUGCCACUACAGAGGAAUUUUUAGAAGAAUGGGCUGUGAGAAAGGCCACCCAAGGGAAGAGCCAAGGGGAGAGGCAUGGUGGAAGAACUCUUAAAGAGAAAAGGGACUCUGAGUUUGCAGUGGGCUCAGGAGAUGGGAAGACUGCAAGGUGGCAGCUGUGAUGUGAUGGCCCAGCUCCUGGACCUCAGGGAACGGAUCCAGGAGGUGCUCAAGGAAGCUGACAGCCAAGGAGGGAGGAGUGGGCCAUAUCUUGGAGGCCCCAAAUUCAGAGAACAAUGAAAACAAGAUGACCAGACCUGCCUGGCUCCUCUCCAUGCAGAGCUGGACCAGGAAUGGAACAGUUGGAUGGACUACAUUUAAUUCUCAUUCUUGCUGUGCAAGUGUUAUGGGAUUCCUGUCUGUAGUAAGGCUGGGCAGACCAGCAACCACCUUUUGGACUCAGAGCAAUCACACCUCCACGUGUUAUGGAUCAAAUAUGCCUUAAAAUCCCAUCUGGAGCUGUAAA